RNAcentral lists this ribosomal RNA (36 nucleotides) under Didymella pinodella. RNAcentral's name for it is "partial 18S ribosomal RNA". The record is from RNAcentral. Lineage: Eukaryota; Fungi; Ascomycota; Dothideomycetes; Pleosporales; Didymellaceae.
AAAGUUUCCGUAGGUGAACCUGCGGAAGGAUCAUUA